UACAGAGGUCCCAAGCGUUGUUCGGAUUCAUUGGGCGUAAAGGGCGCGUAGGUGGUUCGGUAAGUCGGAUGUGAAAUCUCCAAGCUUAACUUGGAAAUUGCAUCGGAAACUACCGGGCUAGAGUCUAGGAGGGGGGAGUGGAAUUCUUGGUGUAGCAGUGAAAUGCGUAGAUAUCAAGAGGAACACCGGUGGCGAAGGCGACUCCCUGGACUAGUACUGACACUGAGGCGCGAAAGCUAGGGGAGCAAACGGG
This 253-nucleotide ribosomal RNA is filed under the name uncultured bacterium. Its description in RNAcentral is "partial 16S ribosomal RNA". It matches the Rfam family "Bacterial small subunit ribosomal RNA", at positions 524 to 776 of the family's 1533-position model. The record is from RNAcentral.